AACCUGAGGCACAAAGAGGUUUAAAGGAUUUUUAAAGGCAACACAAAAGAGUCUGUGGCACAACCAACAAUAAGGCUCCAGACCUGUGUUUUACUCACAUGACUCCAAACAAGGGGAGUUAAAGAUCUCAGCCGGAACCUACAAAAUGAAAAAUUGAUAUGAUCACUCCACUUACUCAGCAGCUUUAAGGACACACAGCUUCUCCUGAGAUGGAAGUGUCACUAUGUAAUAUCUUACUAGGGCAUGAGAAAGACCCACCAAGACUUCUUACCCCCCUCUCUACAAAUCAUGCAUUUUUGGCUACCAACCUGACCAGAAAGCAUAUCCAAAAGAACCAAUGGAUGGUUGAAACAAUCACCUGCAGAAAAUAUGAAAUCUGAAUACACAAAGAAAUAAUUGGAGCUAUUUGGCUGCAGCACAGAACCAACAUGAAACAGAGGACAGUGAUUCAGGAAUAAUGUCAGAAAGAAGGGAAGAUAAAGUAAAUGAACUUCUGACAAACAGGAAAUCUACUGCAGAAGUCACCAAACUAAUGAAGUUUAAAGAGGAAGAUGUCUCAAAGAUGGACAAAAGUGAGAUCUUGAGGGACUGAAGAGCAAGGAUGUUUACAAAGACCGUCUCAGUCAGGAACUACGGAAAAGCUUAA
Molecule: long non-coding RNA, 646 nt
Organism: Mauremys reevesii (Reeves's turtle)
Lineage: Eukaryota; Metazoa; Chordata; Testudines; Geoemydidae
Exons: 4
Source: RefSeq, a predicted model, not a curated record